AUUUGACAUUUUGCCUUAAAACUCAAACGGAAAUGUCAGCAGUAACUCAUUUUGUAGGUAAAUAGUCACACAGACACACACAAAUCAAAUUCAAGGCCCGGGCUCGAGAUCUCUGACGGGUUCAAGCACGAAUCGAAGAUGUGCAGCCCCUGCUGUGGAUCCUGCUGCGGACCUUGCUGCUCCCCCUGCUGCAGCCCCUGCUGCACCCCUUGCUGCAAUGACUGCUGCGGGUCCUGCUGCAGUCCGUGCUGCGGACCCUGUUGCAGCCCCUGCUGCGGACCCUGCUGCAGCCCCUGCUGCAGUCCCUGCUGCAGUCCUUGCUGCAGCCCCUGCUGCACGCCGUGCUGUAAGUGUUGCACACCCUGCUGCGUGCCGUGUUGCACACCCUGCUGCACCCCCUGCUGCACACCCUGUUGCACCCCUUGCUGCACUCCGUGCUGCAGUCCGUGCUGCAGCCCCUGCUGCUCCCCUUGCGGCGGGUCAAAGUGCAAGUGAUCCACGGAAGCGAUUUCGGAUUCGGAUUCGGAGGCGGAGGCGGGAGCCAGUCGCAAAUGCCACCACAAGUUCGUCGGAACCCUUGCUAUUACCAGCUAAGGCAAUCAUACACACGAAAAGUCAACGGCAGAGCAAAGUUUUAAGGCCCCCAAGGAGUGGGGAUAUAAGAACGUGGAGGAUGUGGAAGCAUCUGCUCCCGGGGCCAUGUUAAUGAAGACACAGAUUAGACAGCGGGCCCAGGUAAAAGUUGGUCAUCCUCAACUUAUGCCAGUUAGGGCUGUGUAAAGUUUUUGGCCUCUUCCGAAAAUUAAUUAAAAUCAGUUUCAACCUAUGUGACACGAGCACACUUACAAAAGAAAUUACAUUACAUGCCAAGCUGAGUCAACUA
This is a long non-coding RNA of Drosophila yakuba, 883 nucleotides long. RefSeq lists it as uncharacterized. The transcript has 2 exons. The record is from RefSeq and is a predicted model, not a curated record. NCBI's taxonomy places the organism in Eukaryota, Metazoa, Arthropoda, Insecta, Diptera, Drosophilidae.